CUGGGCUGCAGAAGCACUGGAUGCAGCACGUGGUGGAGGGCUACAGCAGACGGAAAAGAGCAACAACGAACUUCACCUACGACAGUUCUAGAGAGUACUCCAAGGACAGCUCGGUGCGGGUGGUGCUGGGACUCUCACACUUGGAUGCCGCCUUCUAUCUGUUAUUCCUUGGCAAUGCAUUGGCUUUGUUUACCUUCCUCGUGGAGAUCAUCACCGCAUGUUGACAAAUCAUACAUCACUGUAUCUAUUGUUCAAGGGGGCAGGAUGGCUUAGCAGUCAGUGCAAAAGACUGAUGUGGUGAUUCCAUAGUCCCGAGUUGAAGUCCUGCCGCUACCAGCUGAUAUUCUCAAUUCUCGCCAAGAGGCUGAAGAUCGCCCACAGGCUGUCUAGGUGUUCAUCAAUCAUCCCGACCUUCAGAUCGGCGACAGCUGUCAGGGAAAGCACUGGGGAGCAGCAUGUGCCAAGCAGGGAUAUAUUAUUGGGUCACCAUUAAUUAAAACAAAUCUGCCUGUGACACUGGUAGUUUGCCUGGCCUCCGGUGCCCAGCAGGAAAGAUAACUGAUGUUUUGUUAUUGCACGAAAAUGAAAGAAAAUAAAUUGUUUCACUCUG
Long non-coding RNA from Eriocheir sinensis (Chinese mitten crab), 610 nucleotides. RefSeq lists it as uncharacterized. The transcript has 2 exons. Lineage: Eukaryota; Metazoa; Arthropoda; Malacostraca; Decapoda; Varunidae. The record is from RefSeq and is a predicted model, not a curated record.